RNAcentral lists this non-coding RNA (24 nucleotides) under Arabidopsis thaliana (thale cress). The record is from RNAcentral. Lineage: Eukaryota; Viridiplantae; Streptophyta; Magnoliopsida; Brassicales; Brassicaceae.
ACAUCAGCAAUAUCGUCACGACGG